RNAcentral lists this ribosomal RNA (492 nucleotides) under uncultured bacterium. RNAcentral describes it as "partial 16S ribosomal RNA". It matches the Rfam family "Bacterial small subunit ribosomal RNA", at positions 29 to 507 of the family's 1533-position model. The record is from RNAcentral.
AUUGAACGCUGGCGGCAUGCUUUACACAUGCAAGUCGAACGGUAACAGGCCUUCGGGUGCUGACGAGUGGCGAACGGGUGAGUAAUGCAUCGGAACGUACCCAGAGGCGGGGGAUAACGCAGCGAAAGCUGUGCUAAUACCGCAUGUGAUCUGAGGAUGAAAGCGGGGGACCGAGCAGCAAUGUUUGGCCUCGCGCCUUUGGAGCGGCCGAUGUCGGAUUAGCUAGUUGGUGGGGUAAAGGCCUACCAAGGCGACGAUCCGUAGCUGGUCUGAGAGGACGACCAGCCACACUGGGACUGAGACACGGCCCAGACUCCUACGGGAGGCAGCAGUGGGGAAUUUUGGACAAUGGGCGCAAGCCUGAUCCAGCAAUGCCGCGUGCGGGAAGAAGGCCUUCGGGUUGUAAACCGCUUUUGGCAGGAACGAAACGGUGUCCGCUAAUACCGGGCGCUAAUGACGGUACCUGCAGAAUAAGCACCGGCUAACUACGUG